This 253-nucleotide ribosomal RNA is filed under the name uncultured bacterium. RNAcentral's name for it is "partial 16S ribosomal RNA". It matches the Rfam family "Bacterial small subunit ribosomal RNA", at positions 524 to 776 of the family's 1533-position model. The record is from RNAcentral.
UACAGGGGGUGCAAACGUUGCUCGGAAUUAUUGGGCGUAAAGAGCUCGUAGGCGGCUCGGUAAGUCAGGUGUCAAAUCCUCAGGCUCAACCUGGGGCUCCACCUGAUACUGCUGUGGCUAGAGUCCGGUAGGGGAGCGUGGAAUUCCUGGUGUAGCGGUGAAAUGCGCAGAUAUCAGGAGGAACACCAGCGGCGAAGGCGGCGCUCUGGGCCGGAACUGACGCUGAGGAGCGAAAGCGUGGGUAGCAAACAGG